ACUCGAGUGGCGAACGGGUGAGUAACACGUGGGUGAUCUGCCCUGCACUUCGGGAUAAGCUUGGGAAACUGGGUCUAAUACCGGAUAGGACCGCACUUUAGUGUGUGUGGUGGAAAGUUUUUUCGGUGUAGGAUGAGCUCGCGGCCUAUCAGCUUGUUGGUGGGGUAAUGGCCUACCAAGGCGGCGACGGGUAGCCGGCCUGAGAGGGUGUACGGCCACAUUGGGACUGAGAUACGGCCCAGACUCCUACGGGAGGCAGCAGUGGGGAAUAUUGCACAAUGGGCGCAAGCCCGAUGCAGCGACGCCGCGUGGGGGAUGAAGGCCUUCGGGUUGUAAACUCCUUUCGCUAGGGACGAAGCCUUUUUGUGACGGUACCUAGAUAAGAAGCACCGGCUAACUACGUGCCAGCAGCCGCGGUAAUACGUAGGGUGCGAGCGUUGUCCGGAAUUACUGGGCGUAAAGGGCUCGUAGGUGGUUUGUCGCGUCGUCUGUGAAAUUCUGGGGCUUAACUCCGGGCGUGCAGGCGAUACGGGCAUAACUUGAGUGCUGUAGGGGUAACUGGAAUUCCUGGUGUAGCUGUGAAAUGCGCAGAUAUCAGGAGGAACACCGAUGGCGAAGGCAGG
This 623-nucleotide ribosomal RNA is filed under the name uncultured Actinomycetales bacterium. Its description in RNAcentral is "bacterial SSU rRNA". It matches the Rfam family "Bacterial small subunit ribosomal RNA", at positions 89 to 725 of the family's 1533-position model. The record is from RNAcentral. Lineage: Bacteria; Bacillati; Actinomycetota; Actinomycetes; Actinomycetales.